UACAACUUUCAGCAAUGGAUCUCUUGGCUCUCGCAUCGAUGAAGAACGCAGCGAAUCGCGGAUAUGUAAUGUGAAUUGCAGAUCUACAGUAAUCAUCGAUCUUGAACGCACCUGCGCUCUCCGUG
RNAcentral lists this ribosomal RNA (125 nucleotides) under Imleria badia. Its description in RNAcentral is "Xerocomus badius partial 5.8S ribosomal RNA". It matches the Rfam family "5.8S ribosomal RNA", at positions 1 to 124 of the family's 154-position model. Rfam says of the family: 5.8S ribosomal RNA (5.8S rRNA) is a component of the large subunit of the eukaryotic ribosome. It is transcribed by RNA polymerase I as part of the 45S precursor that also contains 18S and 28S rRNA. The record is from RNAcentral. Lineage: Eukaryota; Fungi; Basidiomycota; Agaricomycetes; Boletales; Boletaceae.